UGGCGGCCUUAGCGCGGUGGUCCCACCUGACCCCAUGCCGAACUCAGAAGUGAAACGCCGUAGCGCCGAUGGUAGUGUAGUAGGGAACUGCCAGGCA
This 97-nucleotide ribosomal RNA is filed under the name Escherichia coli. The record is from RNAcentral. Lineage: Bacteria; Pseudomonadati; Pseudomonadota; Gammaproteobacteria; Enterobacterales; Enterobacteriaceae.